GGUUUCAUAUCUCAGUUUGUGGAGCAUCGCAAUAGUAACGCGGAGGUCAUGGGUUCAAAUCCCGUUGAAGCCA
This is a non-coding RNA of Desmophyllum pertusum, 73 nucleotides long. Lineage: Eukaryota; Metazoa; Cnidaria; Anthozoa; Scleractinia; Caryophylliidae. The record is from the annotation of a GenBank genome assembly.